CAGCAGAUGAACUAGAGUUGCAACGCCACAACAACAAAAGCAUAAAACCUCCUUGGCAGUAGAAAGCCAUGGACUAAAUGAGAAGCUCAGCACCAUCAAUAGAAAGUACCUGUACUGUUAAUGGAGCUGCAAGAACUGAACUUAGCACAUCAUUCCAAGUCCUUGUGCAAGUGUUUCACCAAGUCUGAAUCACCAAGCUUGUAGUAUUUAAAAUUGAGUCCUGUAAUCUUAUAUGAGAAGAGGACUGUUGGUAUAUGCUU
Molecule: unclassified non-coding RNA, 260 nt
Filed under: Hevea brasiliensis (rubber tree)
Lineage: Eukaryota; Viridiplantae; Streptophyta; Magnoliopsida; Malpighiales; Euphorbiaceae
Source: RNAcentral